UUUCUCCAGCCUCUAACCCUGAGAUCUCCAUGGAAACUAGGUUUUGUUCAAUCAGCGCAGAUGUAGAGACGAAGAGAGAGACACAGAAGUCGGGUUGAAUUUAGGAAACCUCGACGCGAGGCUCCAGAGCGACAGAGGAGAACUGACCUUUACAUGAACAGUAGCAGCAGAUAAGCAGUGAACAUGCACAUUCAUCCGCUGGCGUCACACACUGCUGAAAUGUCCCUGCUGCAAAUAUCAGACAUUCCUGAUGAGGACAAACUGUUUUUAACAAGCAGCUGGAGCAACGGGAGCGGAGCUGCAACGCUCAUGUGCGUUAAAGAGGCACGUACAGAUGUUUAAAUGUGAAGCACUGAGAAUCAGAGCAGCUGUGAUGAGAGGCCGAUGCAGGCAGAUGUGAACGAUAAGAUGACGGAGACCAGAGGUGGUCACAUGACUUGACCCUGAGGCAGACGAGUCACGAAUCGGAGGACGCUAGACUCGCUGACAUCACUGAUUCAAGACUCGACACUAAUGAGGAUAGCUUGCUGAGAUUUUUACUUUUUACAGCUUCCAACGUGUCGAGUUCCCAAAACUCUGGUUUCUGUGUGAACGUGUAAAACGGAGCUUUUGGGAAACAACUCUGAUAUUUUACGAAUCUUUGAUGCAAACUUUAUCGCCACCUACUGGCCCGGCACGCUCGUUUGCAAACACGUUAGUGGAAACUGAAUUCCUGAACUCUCUGCUCCGACUCACCUUGCAUGCAAAACUUCAGCUCCUUGGCGUCUGUGACGGUGCUGGACGGCAUCCGCUCAGGAACCUUCUUGCUCAUGCGGUUGUAGUGCCUCCUCUUCUUCGUCUCGCCCCACAGGUUGGAGCCGCCGUGCAUGCUGGGAAUGUUGAGCACGCCGAUGCCCUCUAAGGAGGUGUUGCUGAGGUCCAGGAUGAUCCCGUCGCACUGAGCGGAAGUGAGAGGACACAAAGAGCGAGGGUUGAUCUUUUAAGGUUCUGGUGCGUUAUCUACAACCGACCGUGUGCGUUUGUUUCCACGGCUACCACGCGAUCGCUGGAGAAACAUCGGAACCAGUGACAUCAGCAGUUAUGGGAGGAGCUACUGCAAGAAGCGUUACGCCAUUUCCAGAUGAGACGACUGGAAAACUUUACAGUUUAGUUUUUAUUCUUCUGUUGUUGGUGUUUAUUUCCUGUUUUUAUCUAAAUGAUUGUUUUUUAACAGCAGCU
Hippoglossus stenolepis (Pacific halibut) is the source of this 1218-nucleotide long non-coding RNA. RefSeq lists it as uncharacterized. The record is from RefSeq and is a predicted model, not a curated record. The transcript has 3 exons. Lineage: Eukaryota; Metazoa; Chordata; Actinopteri; Pleuronectiformes; Pleuronectidae.